Molecule: ribosomal RNA, 515 nt
Filed under: Melanargia grumi
Lineage: Eukaryota; Metazoa; Arthropoda; Insecta; Lepidoptera; Nymphalidae
Also listed under: 1 other name
Description: partial 16S ribosomal RNA
Source: RNAcentral
GUCUUUUUGAAAUAAUUUAAAGUCUAAUCUGCCCACUGAUAAAAAAUUAAAGGGCUGCAGUAUAAUGACUGUACAAAGGUAGCAUAAUCAAUAGUUUUUUAAUUGAAAACUUGUAUGAAAGAUUUGAUGAAAUAUGGACUGUCUCUAAUUUAUAGAUUGAAUUUUAUUUUUUAGUAAAAAAGCUAAAAUAAAUUUAAAAGACGAGAAGACCCUAUAGAGUUUUAUAUUUAAUUUUAUUUUAAAAUUAUAUAAAAAUUAAUAUUAAAAAUAAAAUUAAAUAUUAUAUUGGGGUGAUAGAAAAAUUAAAUUAACUUUUUUUAAAAAUUAAACAUAAAUAAAUGAUUAUAUGAUCCAUAAAUAAUGAUUAUAAGAAAAAAUUACCUUAGGGAUAACAGCGUAAUAUUUUUUUUUAGUUCAAAUAAAAAAAAAAGUUUGCGACCUCGAUGUUGGAUUAAGAUAAAAUUUAAAUGCAAAAGUUUAAAAAUUUUGAUCUGUUCGAUCAUUAAAAUCUUACA